AAAAUAUUUUUUCUAGAUUUUUCAUUAAAAAUCGUGCGACUUUCAUUAGCAAUACAUCUUGAUCUUAUUUGUAGAUUUUGAGUUAUGAUUUUUUAAAUUUUUAUAUAUGAUUUUGUAAAAUUCUGCACCAAGUAUAACUUUGAGAGGGCAUCUCUUGGCGAUGAUUUCAACAUUUUGGGUGAUUCUUGAGCCAUUCUUGAGCCUAAAUUGGAUUUUAGAAUGUCUUUUAAAAUUUUCAUGUUUUAUGGUUUUCCUAAUUCUGUACAAAUUGGUAAGUGAACACAUUUUAAGAUAACAUGUUAGAAUCUGAGUGCAUGUAAAUGCAACUCUUUUCAAAUUCAAAUUUAACUUUUCUAUUAUGCUUUUUAGUUGUUUCUUUUUCUAAGUGCUUUAUUAAUGUCUUAGGAG
RNAcentral lists this unclassified non-coding RNA (408 nucleotides) under Hevea brasiliensis (rubber tree). The record is from RNAcentral. Lineage: Eukaryota; Viridiplantae; Streptophyta; Magnoliopsida; Malpighiales; Euphorbiaceae.